UUCUCCCUUAUUUCCCAGGUUGGUCUUGAACUCCUGGUCUCAAGAGAUCCUCCUACCUCAGCCUCCCAAAGUGCAAGAAUUACAGGCAAGAGCCACCCUACGAGGCCAGCACUUAGCACUUUUGAUUAUUGGCUCACUGAAUCCUUCCAACCAUCCUGUGAAUCAGAUAUUCCAAUUAGCCCCAUUUUAUAGAUUAUGAAACCGAGGCUCAGAGAAGUGAGGCCAUCCAGCUGGUAAGAUGAGGCGAAUUCAUGCCCGGUCUGUCUGACCUCAGAGUCCACACUCUUCGCUGCUCUAAUUGACUGCUACGGAUUUGAUGCAAACUCAUUCUGUGACCUUGAGCAAAUCUUUUAAUCUCUGGGGCUUCAGUUUCUUUUUCUGUAAAAAAAAAAAAAAAAGAUAAAAAAAUAGCAAGAGCAGUGGUUGGUUUAGAAGGAUUCCAAAUCCCUCUGGAAUAGGGAGGUUGGUGGGGGUAAGUUAGCGGGAAAGAGCUCUGAAGCAGCAGAACUGGACUCCCGGAGGGAAAUAUUCUGAGUCAUUUUCAAUGAUUUCACAAAUUUCUGGAGGUCAUGCUUAAGAUUCGGGACUGCAAAUAAUGUCUCAGGUUCGUUGUCAAAACUAAGUGAUUGGUAGUGGCUGCUUGGAGCCCAGUAUUAGAAGGAUUCUGAACAUCUGCUCAGUGGGAAAGAAUGUCGCCAUUGAUUGGUGCUGUCUGCCGUGCUGCUCAAUUGGUGCUGUCUGCCUUGCCUGCAGGAUGGGCUGUGGUGACGCGGAUGCUAGAUAUUUGCUAACACUACAGGGACGUUAACCCCAAAUCCUAAGGUUUGUGUUCUUUUUAAAAAAUCAAGCUAGUUCUUUUGUUUAUUGAACUUUGAACAUGGAAUGCAACCCCACCGUUCAAGAUUGGCCAGUGGUUCUCACCUGGAAGUCAUUUCGCCCCCAGGUUACAUUUGGCAAUGUCCAGAGAUAUUUUUGGAUGUCACAACUCGGGACGGGCGAGGAGUGAGGUGCUACGGGAACCUCGCAAGAUGCUGGAACACACCUGCAAUGCACGGGACGGGACGGCCACCCCGGCAAAGCAGCAGCUUGUCUCUGAUGUAGCUGGUGCCACGAUCAUGGAGAAAGCCUGUGCCACACUUUUAUCUAGAAAUCAAUAAACAAAAAAAUCUUCAUUAAGAUA
Long non-coding RNA from Callithrix jacchus (white-tufted-ear marmoset), 1180 nucleotides. RefSeq lists it as uncharacterized. The record is from RefSeq and is a predicted model, not a curated record. NCBI's taxonomy places the organism in Eukaryota, Metazoa, Chordata, Mammalia, Primates, Cebidae.